Molecule: ribosomal RNA, 445 nt
Filed under: uncultured bacterium
Lineage: Bacteria
Description: bacterial SSU rRNA
Rfam family: Bacterial small subunit ribosomal RNA
Source: RNAcentral
CCAGACUCCUACGGGAGGCAGCAGUGGGGGAUAUUGCACAAUGGGGGGAACCCUGAUGCAGCGACGCCGCGUGGGUGAAGAAGCGCCUCGGCGCGUAAAGCCCUGUCAGCAGGGAAGAAGCAAGACGGUACCUGACUAAGAAGCCCCGGCUAACUACGUGCCAGCAGCCGCGGUAAUACGUAGGGGGCGAGCGUUAUCCGGAUUCACUGGGUGUAAAGGGAGCGUAGACGGCCAAGCAAGCCAGGGGUGAAAGCCCGGGGCCCAACCCCGGGACUGCCCUUGGAACUGCAUGGCUGGAGUGCGGGAGGGGCAGGCGGAAUUCCUGGUGUAGCGGUGAAAUGCGUAGAUAUUAGGAGGGACACCAGUGGCGAAGGCGGCUUACUGGACAGUAACUGACGUUGAGGCUCGAAAGCGUGGGGAGCAAACAGGAUUAGAUACCCGAGUA